GAGUUUGAUCGUGGCUCAGAUUGAACGCUGGCGGCAGGCCUAACACAUGCAAGUCGAGCGGAUGACGGGAGCUUGCUCCUUGAUUCAGCGGCGGACGGGUGAGUAAUGCCUAGGAAUCUGCCUGGUAGUGGGGGACAACGUUUCGAAAGGAACGCUAAUACCGCAUACGUCCUACGGGAGAAAGCAGGGGACCUUCGGGCCUUGCGCUAUCAGAUGAGCCUAGGUCGGAUUAGCUAGUUGGUGGGGUAAUGGCUCACCAAGGCGACGAUCCGUAACUGGUCUGAGAGGAUGAUCAGUCACACUGGAACUGAGACACGGUCCAGACUCCUACGGGAGGCAGGCAGUGGGGAAUAUUGGACAAUGGGCGAAAGCCUGAUCCAGCCAUGCCGCGUGUGUGAAGAAGGUCUUCGGAUUGUAAAGCACUUUAAGUUGGGAGGAAGGGCAGUAAGUUAAUACCUUGCUGUUUGACGUUACGACAGAAUAAGCACCGGCUAACUCUGUGCCAGCAGCCG
RNAcentral lists this ribosomal RNA (512 nucleotides) under bacterium enrichment culture clone ALO1_GLFRUDD03G0M0F. RNAcentral's name for it is "bacterial SSU rRNA". It matches the Rfam family "Bacterial small subunit ribosomal RNA", at positions 9 to 517 of the family's 1533-position model. The record is from RNAcentral.